UACGAAGGGGGCUAGCGUUGCUCGGAAUCACUGGGCGUAAAGGGCGCGUAGGCGGCCAUUUAAGUCGGGGGUGAAAGCCUGUGGCUCAACCACAGAAUUGCCUUCGAUACUGGAUGGCUUGAGACCGGAAGAGGUAAGUGGAACUGCGAGUGUAGAGGUGAAAUUCGUAGAUAUUCGCAAGAACACCAGUGGCGAAGGCGGCUUACUGGUCCGGUUCUGACGCUGAGGCGCGAAAGCGUGGGGAGCAAACAGG
This 253-nucleotide ribosomal RNA is filed under the name uncultured bacterium. RNAcentral describes it as "partial 16S ribosomal RNA". It matches the Rfam family "Bacterial small subunit ribosomal RNA", at positions 524 to 776 of the family's 1533-position model. The record is from RNAcentral.